RNAcentral lists this long non-coding RNA (972 nucleotides) under Nicotiana benthamiana. RNAcentral's name for it is "long non-coding RNA (NBEN_LNC030595)". The record is from RNAcentral. Lineage: Eukaryota; Viridiplantae; Streptophyta; Magnoliopsida; Solanales; Solanaceae.
GCGAAUUCGAAGGCGAGCACAUUCUCUUUAAUAGUCAAAGCUGUUUUACUAGUUUACAGUCGCAAGCUUCAUUCAACUUCCUGCUACGUUUCAUGUGCAAACUUUAUACUAAUGAAUUUGUGAUGUUAUACCUAUACAAUGGUAUUGAGCAGUUAUGUAAACCAGUGAGAAGAUAACUUCAAACACAAUAUUUAUUAACAAGGCAUUAAACACAGAUACAACACCAGACAAUUCAAGUUUCCAUAGAAAAGAAACACCGAAUUCAAACUGCAACUCAGAAAAUUGAACAGAGAAUAUAACUAACUGAAACAGUAAACGCGAAAUCCACGACCUCAACAAAACGUAUCCCAGACCGGUGACCACGGACAGAAUCGGAAACCAGCAAUUAACGACGAGCUCAGAACAAAAACUCAGAUUCGAUCGAACCCUGACCAGAACCAACAAAUCACCUCGAACAGACCUCGAUGGAAAAUUUUAUAACUCGAACGGAUUUGAAAAUUAGAUCUUCAUGACUGAAAUUUCAAGCACAAUUACACGAGAAGGAUCAACCAAUUGCUGUGACUGAAACCGGAAAUGGACGGAGCUUGAGCGAACCAAAUCCGGACGAUGAACAGUGACAGACUCAAACAAAACCAAACGAGACCUCGAGCUUAUGGAAGCUCUUAGUCAGGCUCGAACAAAUGAAAACGCACACAAACUCCAUAAUGAAACAGAAAUCGAAACCGGAAGGGAGACGAUUGAAACUUAUAUUACUUCUGAUUUUCUCGCAUUUGAGGCAGAUAUGAAGCAAAUCGUUGCCGGACUUGGGUUCUGAUGGAAAGGGAUUGGGAUGCGUCGUGCGUCUGGUUUUCGACGGAGGUGAAUCUGUGGGGUUUGGUUGGCGGAAAUGGUCGUUUGGGACGAGGACAACGGCGACAUGAAGGUGGUUUCCGUCGUUUUCUCUGAAGAUCGAAGAAGAUGUUAGAAUUCCAA